This 234-nucleotide long non-coding RNA is filed under the name Phoenix dactylifera (date palm). Its description in RNAcentral is "long non-coding RNA (PDAC_LNC013151)". The record is from RNAcentral. Lineage: Eukaryota; Viridiplantae; Streptophyta; Magnoliopsida; Arecales; Arecaceae.
CAUCCCUGAAAACCCUCACGAGACAACACUCGUCCACUAGGGUAAUCUAGGGGUUUAACGGCUUGUUGCACGUGCUAAGUGCAAUCGUGAUUCCUACGAAAGUGAGUACUUAUCUUAAUUUUAUGCAAUUAGUUCUAAUAAAACAUCAUAGGAUCAACCAACACUUUUUGUACUCUCAUGUUAUUGUUUACUCUGAAAUUGCUAGAGACUAGCAAUAAGCUAGUUGGGGGGUGU